RNAcentral lists this ribosomal RNA (496 nucleotides) under uncultured bacterium. RNAcentral's name for it is "partial 16S ribosomal RNA". It matches the Rfam family "Bacterial small subunit ribosomal RNA", at positions 28 to 506 of the family's 1533-position model. The record is from RNAcentral.
GAUGAACGCUGGCGGCGUGCCUAAUACAUGCAAGUCGAGCGAACAGACGAGGAGCUUGCUCCUCUGACGUUAGCGGCGGACGGGUGAGUAACACGUGGAUAACCUACCUAUCAUACUGGGAUAACUUCGGGAAACCGGAGCUAAUACCGGAUAAUAUCUUGAACCGCAUGGUUCAAUAGUGAAAUACGGUUUUUCUGUCUCUUAUAGCUGGUUCCGCGCCGCAUUAGCUAGUUGGUAAGGUAACGGCUUACCAAGGCAACGAUGCGUAGCCGACCUGAGAGGGUGAUGGGCGACACUGGAGCUGAGACACGGUCCAGACACCGACGGGAGGCAGCAGCAGGUAAUGGAGCGAGAAGGGCGAAAGCUUGACGGAGCAACGGCGCGUGAGUGAAGAAGGUCUGCGGAUCGGAAAACGCUGUUAUGAGGGAAGAACAAAUGUGUAAGUAACGAUGCGCGUCUUGACGGUACCGAAUCAGAAAGCCACGGCUAAUUACGU